CAUAUAUAUGUGGGCGUAAUGUGUUCAUGCUAACAUGGUUUCUGUCUCUGAUCUGCUAGCUCCACCAGAAACUGAGAGGAGACACUAGACGUACUGCCGAGCACUUCAGUGAAAAGUUCUAUAUGACAAACAACCAUUAAACUAUUCUCUGUCCGUAUCAAGACGGUUGUUUUAUCGUUAUUUAGUCUUCUGCACUAUUGGUGAUUACAACGAUAUUGGUUCCUUCAUUUCUUAGACUCAAGGGACCUUCCAAGGUGCUGCAGUUGCAACCAUGACUAUAUAGCACUGAUGAACUUUCAAUUCAGUUAUGAUUUUGGUUUAGCACCAACCUGAUGCAUUUUCAAUAGAUGGCAUUUGACUCUAAUGCAGGCUAGCUCCUUGAUAGUUGGUAUGGACCGAAACUACUCAUAUCUUGUUAUUCUUCCUCCACAGAAAUUAUUAUUGUUCUGCUGGUAAUUGGGCAAGCUUGCACCUCACGGUGUGGCUCUGAAAUGUCUUGUUCAGUCGCUGUUGUUUUGCAUUAUACGUUCACUAACUGAGCCGAAGAGGAUGAAGGAGAGAAGUUACUGUUACUGUAUGGUUCUUUCUUAUUCAUUGAUGUGAUGAAUGUGUGGUGACUGCAUUGCCUGUCUUAGUCAGAAAGUUAGGCAUAUGGCUGAUCCUGAAUUCAUUAGAUAUAAAGGUUUGCGAGUCGUGCUUAUUUUUAUGGCAUGCUGUCUGCCUUAAUGCUUGCGUUGAAUUUCCGUCUGAUUUGAUAACUUAUCCAAUGGCGUUCAAGGUUGUUUUGGUGUGCACUGAAGCCCCUCUGUUCCUGCCACAAAUAAUGAAACUUUUUCAUGUAUUUAUUCAAAAUAGGAAACAGUUGAUGUUACUAGGUUCACCAUGCAUGUCUUUCCACAAUGGAUAUGAUCCAUGGAUGUAUAAACUGUUGAUAUUAUCUUCUCACAGUAGAACAUUGCACGAAGUGAUUGAGUUUCUAAAAGACGUUAAUGAAAUCCAGUAAUUGUGGAUGA
This is a long non-coding RNA of Hibiscus syriacus, 1013 nucleotides long. RefSeq lists it as uncharacterized. The record is from RefSeq and is a predicted model, not a curated record. Lineage: Eukaryota; Viridiplantae; Streptophyta; Magnoliopsida; Malvales; Malvaceae. The transcript is spliced from 2 exons.